Molecule: ribosomal RNA, 2212 nt
Filed under: Campylobacter coli
Lineage: Bacteria; Pseudomonadati; Campylobacterota; Epsilonproteobacteria; Campylobacterales; Campylobacteraceae
Description: partial 23S ribosomal RNA
Rfam family: Bacterial large subunit ribosomal RNA
Source: RNAcentral
AAAAAAGGUAAGCUACUAAGAGCGAAUGGUGGAUGCCUUGACUGGUAAAGGCGAUGAAGGACGUACUAGACUGCGAUAAGCUACGGGGAGCUGUCAAGAAGCUUUGAUCCGUAGAUUUCCGAAUGGGGCAACCCAAUGUAUAGAGAUAUACAUUACCUAUAUAGGAGCGAACGAGGGGAAUUGAAACAUCUUAGUACCCUCAGGAAAAGAAAUCAAUAGAGAUUGCGUCAGUAGCGGCGAGCGAAAGCGCAAGAGGGCAAACCCAGUGCUUGCACUGGGGGUUGUAGGACUGUAAUGUGCAAGAGGUGAGUUUAGCAGAACAUUCUGGAAAGUAUAGCCAUAGAGGGUGAUAGUCCCGUAUGCGAAAAACAAACCUUAGCUAGCAGUAUCCUGAGUAGGGCGGGACACGAGAAAUCCUGUCUGAAGCUGGGUCGACCACGAUCCAACCCUAAAUACUAAUACCAGAUCGAUAGUGCACAAGUACCGUGAGGGAAAGGUGAAAAGAACUGAGGUGAUCAGAGUGAAAUAGAACCUGAAACCAUUUGCUUACAAUCAUUCAGAGCCCUAUGUAGCAAUACAGGGUGAUGGACUGCCUUUUGCAUAAUGAGCCUGCGAGUUGUGGUGUCUGGCAAGGUUAAGCAAACGCGAAGCCGUAGCGAAAGCGAGUCUGAAUAGGGCGCUUAGUCAGAUGCUGCAGACCCGAAACGAAGUGAUCUAUCCAUGAGCAAGUUGAAGCUAGUGUAAGAACUAGUGGAGGACUGAACCCAUAGGCGUUGAAAAGCCCCGGGAUGACUUGUGGAUAGGGGUGAAAGGCCAAUCAAACUUCGUGAUAGCUGGUUCUCUCCGAAAUAUAUUUAGGUAUAGCGUUGUGUCGUAAUAUAAGGGGGUAGAGCACUGAAUGGGCUAGGGCAUACACCAAUGUACCAAACCCUAUCAAACUCCGAAUACCUUAUAUGUAAUCACAGCAGUCAGGCGGCGAGUGAUAAAAUCCGUCGUCAAGAGGGAAACAACCCAGACUACCAGCUAAGGUCCCUAAAUCUUACUUAAGUGGAAAACGAUGUGAAGUUACUUAAACAACCAGGAGGUUGGCUUAGAAGCAGCCAUCCUUUAAAGAAAGCGUAAUAGCUCACUGGUCUAGUGAUUUUGCGCGGAAAAUAUAACGGGGCUAAAGUAAGUACCGAAGCUGUAGACUUGCGCACAACUUAGAUUAUUUAAGUUUAGAAUAUGAGAAACUAAGUUAUAUGUUUAGUUAUAUUUUUACUGAUUUUUAUAGAGUAAAGAUAGAAAUAAAACUUAGUAAAAUCAGUAAAAAUAUUCUUAGAUUAAAGUUAAGUAGUUUAAGUUGUGUGCAAGUGGUAGGAGAGCGUUCUAUUUGCGUCGAAGGUAUACCGGUAAGGAGUGCUGGAGCGAAUAGAAGUGAGCAUGCAGGCAUGAGUAGCGAUAAUUAAUGUGAGAAUCAUUAACGCCGUAAACCCAAGGUUUCCUACGCGAUGCUCGUCAUCGUAGGGUUAGUCGGGUCCUAAGUCGAGUCCGAAAGGGGUAGACGAUGGCAAAUUGGUUAAUAUUCCAAUACCAACAUUAGUGUGCGAUGGAAGGACGCUUAGGGCUAAGGGGGCUAGCGGAUGGAAGUGCUAGUCUAAGGUCGUAGGAGGUUAUACAGGCAAAUCCGUAUAACAAUACUCCGAGAACUGAAAGGCUUUUUGAAGUCUUCGGAUGGAUAGAAGAACCCCUGAUGCCGUCGAGCCAAGAAAAGUUUCUAAGUUUAGCUAAUGUUGCCCGUACCGUAAACCGACACAGGUGGGUGGGAUGAGUAUUCUAAGGCGCGUGGAAGAACUCUCUUUAAGGAACUCUGCAAAAUAGCACCGUAUCUUCGGUAUAAGGUGUGGUUCGCUUCGUAUUAGGAUUUACUCCGAAAGCGAAGAAACUUACAACAAAGAGUCCCUCCCGACUGUUUACCAAAAACACAGCACUCUGCUAACUCGUAAGAGGAUGUAUAGGGUGUGACGCCUGCCCGGUGCUCGAAGGUUAAUUGAUGGGGUUAGCAUUAGCGAAGCUCUUGAUCGAAGCCCGAGUAAACGGCGGCCGUAACUAUAACGGUCCUAAGGUAGCGAAAUUCCUUGUCGGUUAAAUACCGACCUGCAUGAAUGGCGUAACGAGAUGGGAGCUGUCUCAAAGAGGGAUCCAGUGAAAUUGUAGUGGAGGUGAAAAUUCC